Molecule: ribosomal RNA, 168 nt
Filed under: uncultured bacterium
Lineage: Bacteria
Description: partial 16S ribosomal RNA
Rfam family: Bacterial small subunit ribosomal RNA
Source: RNAcentral
CCUACGGGAGGCAGCAGUGGGGAAUUUUGGACAAUGGGCGAAAGCCUGAUCCAGCCAUGCCGCGUGCAGGAUGAAGGCCUUCGGGUUGUAAACUGCUUUUGUACGGAACGAAAAGGUUUGGCCUAAUAAGCGAGUCUCAUGACGGUACCGUAAGAAUAAGCACCGGCU